GCUCCUACCGAUUGAGUGAUCCGGUGAAUAAUUCGGACUGACGCAGUGCUCAGCUUCUGGAUGUUGUGUUGGAAAGUUUCAUGAACCUUAUCACUUAGAGGAAGGAGAAGUCGUAACAAGGUUUCCGUAGGUGAACCUGCAGAAGGAUCAAGAGAGGAAAAGCGUGGUGUAUGGAAAGAGUGUAAAUCUCGGUUGGCGCCGGAACAUUUAAAAAAAAACAUAUAAACGACAUAAAUGACACGAACCAUAGACAUAUGUAUACACAUGAUGAUAGUAU
RNAcentral lists this unclassified non-coding RNA (277 nucleotides) under sea anemone metagenome. Its description in RNAcentral is "partial contains small subunit ribosomal RNA and internal transcribed spacer 1". The stretch from base 1 to 153 matches the Rfam family "Eukaryotic small subunit ribosomal RNA", at positions 1678 to 1831 of the family's 1831-position model. The record is from RNAcentral.